This 468-nucleotide ribosomal RNA is filed under the name uncultured bacterium. RNAcentral's name for it is "partial 16S ribosomal RNA". It matches the Rfam family "Bacterial small subunit ribosomal RNA", at positions 28 to 507 of the family's 1533-position model. The record is from RNAcentral.
GACGAACGCUGGCGGCGUGCUUAACACAUGCAAGUCGAACGGAAAGGCCCUGCUUUUGUGGGGUGCUCGAGUGGCGAACGGGUGAGUAACACGUGAGUAACCUGCCCUUGACUUUGGGAUAACUUCAGGAAACUGGGGCUAAUACCGGAUAGGAGCUCCUGCUGCAUGGUGUGGGUUGGAAAGUUUCGGCGGUUGGGGAUGGACUCGCGGCUUAUCAGCUUGUUGGUGGGGUAGUGGCUUACCAAGGCUUUGACGGGUAGCCGGACUGAGAGGGUGACCGGCCACAUUGGGACUGAGAUACGGCCCAGACUCCUACGGGAGGCAGCAGUGGGGAAUAUUGCACAAUGGGCGGAAGCCUGAUGCAGCAACGCCGCGUGCGGGAUGACGGCCUUCGGGUUGUAAACCGCUUUCGCCUGUGACGAAGCGUGAGUGACGGUAAUGGGUAAAGAAGCACCGGCUAACUACGUG